Molecule: ribosomal RNA, 253 nt
Filed under: uncultured bacterium
Lineage: Bacteria
Description: partial 16S ribosomal RNA
Rfam family: Bacterial small subunit ribosomal RNA
Source: RNAcentral
UACAGAGGUGGCAAGCGUUGUUCGGAAUUACUGGGCGUAAAGGGUGCGUAGGCGGUCGGGUAAGUCUGAUGUGAAAUCUCCAAGCUCAACUUGGAAAUGGCAUCGGAUACUAUUCGGCUAGAGGAAUGGAGGGGAGACUGGAAUACUUGGUGUAGCAGUGAAAUGCGUAGAUAUCAAGUGGAACACCAGUGGCGAAGGCGAGUCUCUGGACAUUUCCUGACGCUGAGGCACGAAAGCCAGGGGAGCAAACGGG